UACGUAGGGUGCAAGCGUUGUCCGGAAUUAUUGGGCGUAAAGAGCUCGUAGGCGGUUUGUCGCGUCUGCUGUGAAAACGCGAGGCUCAACCUCGCGCCUGCAGUGGGUACGGGCAGACUAGAGUGCGGUAGGGGAGAUUGGAAUUCCUGGUGUAGCGGUGGAAUGCGCAGAUAUCAGGGGGAACACCGAUGGCGAAGGCAGAUCUCUGGGCCGUUACGUGACGCUGAGGAGCGAAAGCGUGGGGAGCGAACGAGG
Molecule: ribosomal RNA, 255 nt
Filed under: uncultured bacterium
Lineage: Bacteria
Description: partial 16S ribosomal RNA
Rfam family: Bacterial small subunit ribosomal RNA
Source: RNAcentral